RNAcentral lists this ribosomal RNA (439 nucleotides) under uncultured eukaryote. RNAcentral describes it as "SSU rRNA". It matches the Rfam family "Eukaryotic small subunit ribosomal RNA", at positions 619 to 1063 of the family's 1831-position model. The record is from RNAcentral.
AUUAAAAAGCUCGUAGUUGAAACUUGGGCCUGGCUGGCAGGUCCGCCUCACCGCGUGUACUUGUCCGGCCGGGUCUUCCUUCUGGAGAACCUCAUGCCCUUCACUGGGCGUGUUGGGGACCAGGACUUUUACUUUGAAAAAAUUAGAGUGUUCAAAGCAGGCCUUUGCUCGAAUACGUUAGAAUGGAAUAAUAGAAUAGGACGUGCGGUUCUAUUUUGUUGGUUUCUAGGACCGCCGUAAUGAUUAAUAGGGACAGUCGGGGGCAUCAGUAUUCAAUUGUCAGAGGUGAAAUUCUUGGAUUUAUCGAAGACUAACUACUGCGAAAGCAUUUGCCAAGGAUGUUUUCAUUAAUCAGUGAACGAAAGUUAGGGGAUCGAAGACGAUCAGAUACCGUCGUAGUCUUAACCGUAAACUAUGCCGACUAGGGAUCGGGCGAUGU